UGAUAAUGGACUGACCCUCUGAAACUUUGACUUCAGCCUGAAUCCAAGUUCCUACCCUGUCAGCUUGGCAGGAAAUCCCGUUUAAAUUAUUACCAAGACUGUCUCUUUCCCAGAACCUAGGGUCCACAAACCAAUCAGUCACCACCAGGGACAACACAAUGCUGUGCGCCAGGCACUGUUAGCUGAGGACUGAACCCAGGGCCUUGC
Molecule: long non-coding RNA, 207 nt
Organism: Onychomys torridus (southern grasshopper mouse)
Lineage: Eukaryota; Metazoa; Chordata; Mammalia; Rodentia; Cricetidae
Exons: 3
Source: RefSeq, a predicted model, not a curated record